UUUGAUUUUAGACAGGACAGGAUGGCUGCUCAAUGUUCCAGGGUUUCAUUGUUUUAGACAAAUAGAGAGGAAAGUAAGAGGUAGAGGAAUUGCUUUUACUCAUCAGGAAGAAUGUCCCAUCUGAAAUUAGACGACGUACUGGAGGGAUUAAUCCUCUGAGGCAAUCUGGGUAGAGCUAAAAAAUAAGAUGGGUACAAUAUCUCUGAUAGGAGACAGCCACCAAAACAUUGAGGAACCAGUAUGUAGGUAGACUAUGGAAAGAUGCAAUAAAGAGUCGUUGUGGGUGGCAUUAAAUUUUCCAAUAUUGAUUGGGACUCCCUUAGAGCAAGAGGCUUAGACAGGGCAGAAUUUAAAUGCAUUCAAGAGGGUUUCUUGAAACAGUAUGAAGAUAGUCCAACUGGAGGAGGGGCUUUGCUGAACCUUGUAUUGGCUAAUGAGCCUGGCCAGGUGACUGAUCUUUCUGUGGGAGAGCAUUUUGGAAAUCAAUUUAAAGAUCACAACUCCUUAAGAUGGCUAUAAUCAAGGAUAAGUCAGGACUUUGUGGUGAGGUACUAAACUGGGGUAAGGUGAAUUAUGACCAUAUAAGGCAGGAGCUAAUGAGUUUAAAAAGUGUGGUGCUGGAAAAGCACAGACGGUAAGCAAGCAGCCGAGGAGCAGGAGAGUUGACAUUCUGAGCAUAAGCUCUUCAUCAGGAAUGUGGGGGGUGCCCAAGAGGGCUGAGAGAUAAAUGGAAGGGAGGUGGGGAGUUUUAGCUGGGAGGAGUUGUCUGGUAAGUCCACAUUUGAUGUGGGAAUUGUUUUAAAGGCCUGCUGGUGAGAGUUCAGGACAGACGUACCAAUGAAGAGGAAUGACAAGAAUAGCAAGGUAAGGGAACCUUGAAUAAGAAGGGAGGUUGUGAAUUUAGUCAAAAGGGAAAAAGCAGCAUAUGUAAGCUUUAGGAAGUUAAAACUGGACAGAAUCUGCGAUGAAUAUAAAGAAAGCUGGAAGGAACUCAAAGGGAAUUUAGAGAGCAAAAAGAGGUUAUGAAAUGACCUUGUUGGGUACAGUUAAAGAGAACCUGAAGGUAUUCUAUACAUAGCUUAAAAACAAGAGGAUAACUAGGGAGAAGGUAGGACCACUCCAAGGUUAAAGGAGAAAAUUGUGCUUGGGGGCAGAGGAUGUGGUGAGAUCAUGGAACAAUAGAAUUCCUACAGUGUGGAAACAGGCCCUUUGGCCCAACAAGUCCACACCAACCCUCUGAAGAGUAGCCCACCCAGACCCAUUCUCUCCCCUAUUAUCCUACCUAUUACCCCUGAUAAAUGCACCUAACCUACACAUCCCUGAAUACUAUGAGCAAUUUAGCAUAGCCAAUCCACCUAACCUGCACAUCUUUGGAUUGUGGGAGGAAACCCACGCAGACACUGGAAGAAUGUGCAAACUCCACACAGACAGUUGCCCGAGGCUGGAAUCAAACCCGAGUCCCUGGUGCUAUGAGGCUGCAGUGCUGGCCACCAUGCUGCCCCAUAUGGGAAAUUUGAGUCAUCAUACUGGGGAAGUAUUCACCCAGGGGAAGGGUAUGGAGGAUCGUAAAAUUUGUGUUGUGUAUGCUAAUAUGCAACGGCAUUCUGAGAUGAAGAAAGCAGUGAGGUUGAGUCUCUUGAAGAGAAUUAAGGUGGAAAUGUGCCCAAGGUCCAAUGCUAUCUACCACAGGCUAUUGAGAGAGGCAAGAGAGUAAAACACUGGAGCUUUGACCAAAAUCUUUUGUGUCGUCGCUAGCCACUGGCGAGUCCUAAUAGACUGGCUUGUAGUUAAUAUUGUUCCUCUGUUCAAGAAGGGAAAUAGGGAUAAUUCAGAAAACUACAGACUGAUGUGUCUCACAUUGGUGGUUGGGAAGCUAUUGGAGAGAAUUCUUGAGGAUAGGAUUUAAACACAUUUAGAAAAACAUGGCCUAAUUAGGGACAGUUAGCAUGGCUGUGUGCAGGGCAGGUCAUGUCUUUCUAACUUGAUUGAAUUUUUCGAGGAGGUGACAAAGGUGAUCGAUGAGGGUGGGGCACUGGAUAUUGUCUGUGUGGAUUUUAGUAAGGUCUUUGACAAAGUCCCUCAUGGUAAGCUCUUCAAGAAGGUUAAGACACAUGGGAUCCAUGGUGACUUGGUUAUGUAGAUUCAGAAUUGGCUGGCUGAGAGAAGGGUAGUGUGAAAGGAUAUAUUUAAGGCUGGAGGUCCAUGACUAGUAGUGUUCCACAGGGAUCCAUACUGGGACCCCUGCUGUUUAAAUGCCUUGGAUGAAAAUGUGGAUGGGGGUUAUUAAGUUUGCAGAUGAUACAAAGAU
Non-coding RNA from Chiloscyllium plagiosum (whitespotted bambooshark), 2308 nucleotides. Lineage: Eukaryota; Metazoa; Chordata; Chondrichthyes; Orectolobiformes; Hemiscylliidae. The record is from RefSeq and is a predicted model, not a curated record.